This 381-nucleotide long non-coding RNA is filed under the name Sorghum bicolor (sorghum). RNAcentral describes it as "long non-coding RNA (SBIC_LNC018233)". The record is from RNAcentral. Lineage: Eukaryota; Viridiplantae; Streptophyta; Magnoliopsida; Poales; Poaceae.
ACAAGAAGCAUUUCCAAAGGUAGGUAGGAGUAUCAUAAUCUCUGGUCAGAAAUGGAGGGACAUUGGUGUCAUGUCAUUCAUUGACUUCUUUAUUUUUUUGCUGGUCCAGUCUUUGAUGGAAGAGGAAAUGGUGUGGUGAUUGGUGAGCGCUGAUCACUUGAUCAUCGGUGACCAUCUUUGGAGUUUGGACCAGUUGAUGCUUUCAGCUUUUCUUGCCCUCCUCAUUUGAUUCCUUUCCUUUUCUUCUGCAUCAAGCCGGUUCCUUCCAGUUUAUUCCCUCGUUCUCUGUAUGACUGUAUCCACCAAUUUCACCCUCGUUUAAAGUGGAUGCACGCUUUAGGGCAGCAAAGAUACGAUACUAUACGAUCUUAAGCAUACUUU